This 1540-nucleotide ribosomal RNA is filed under the name Candidatus Thioglobus sp. Its description in RNAcentral is "bacterial SSU rRNA". It matches the Rfam family "Bacterial small subunit ribosomal RNA". The record is from RNAcentral. Lineage: Bacteria; Pseudomonadati; Pseudomonadota; Gammaproteobacteria; Pseudothioglobaceae (SeqCode).
AAACUGAAGAGUUUGAUCCUGGCUCAGAUUGAACGCUGGCGGUAUGCUUAACACAUGCAAGUCGAACGGAAACGAUACUAGCUUGCUAGUAGGCGUCGAGUGGCGGACGGGUGAGUAACGCGUAGGAAUCUGCCUGAUAGUGGGGGAUAGCCCGGAGAAAUUCGGAUUAAUACCGCAUAAUCUAUUCGUAGUAAAGUGGGGGACUUUCGAGCCUCACGCUAUCAGAUGAGCCUGCGUAAGAUUAGCUUGUUGGUAGGGUAAAAGCCUACCAAGGCGACGAUCUUUAGCUGGUCUGAGAGGAUGAUCAGCCACAUCGGGACUGAGACACGGCCCGAACUCCUACGGGAGGCAGCAGUGGGGAAUAUUGGACAAUGGGGGCAACCCUGAUCCAGCAAUACCGCGUGUGUGAAGAAGGCCUGAGGGUUGUAAAGCACUUUCAAUUGUGAAGAAAAGUUAGCGGUUAAUAACCGUUAGCCUUGACGUUAACUUUAGAAGAAGCACCGGCUAACUCCGUGCCAGCAGCCGCGGUAAUACGGAGGGUGCAAGCGUUAAUCGGAAUUACUGGGCGUAAAGCGUGCGUAGGUGGUUUAUUAAGUCAGAUGUGAAAGCCCCGGGCUUAACCUGGGAACUGCAUUUGAAACUGGUCAACUAGAGUAUGGUAGAGGAAAGUGGAAUUUCUGGUGUAGCGGUGAAAUGCGUAGAUAUCAGAAGGAACAUCAAUGGCGAAGGCAGCUUUCUGGCCCAAUACUGACGCUGAGGUACGAAAGCGUGGGUAGCAAACAGGAUUAGAUACCCUGGUAGUCCACGCCGUAAACGAUGAUAACUAGCCGUUGGGGGGAUUUACCCUUUAGUGGCGAAGCUAACGCGUUAAGUUAUCCGCCUGGGGAGUACGGCCGCAAGGUUAAAACUCAAAGGAAUUGACGGGGACCCGCACAAGCGGUGGAGCAUGUGGUUUAAUUCGAUGCAACGCGAAGAACCUUACCUGGUCUUGACAUCCUGCGAACUUUCUAGAAAUAGAUUGGUGCCUUCGGGAACGCAGUGACAGGUGCUGCAUGGCUGUCGUCAGCUCGUGUCGUGAGAUGUUGGGUUAAGUCCCGUAACGAGCGCAACCCCUAUCCUUAUUUGCCAGCACAUCAUGGUGGGAACUAUAAGGAGACUGCCGGUGAUAAACCGGAGGAAGGCGGGGACGACGUCAAGUCAUCAUGGCCCUUACGACCAGGGCUACACACGUGCUACAAUGGGAAGGACAAAGAGCCGCGAAGCCGCGAGGUGUAGCUAAUCUCAUAAACCUUUUCGUAGUCCGGAUUGGAGUCUGCAACUCGACUCCAUGAAGUCGGAAUCGCUAGUAAUCGUAGAUCAGAAUGCUACGGUGAAUACGUUCCCGGGUCUUGUACACACCGCCCGUCAUACCAUGGGAGUGGGUUGCACCAGAAGUGGCUAGUCUAACUUAGUGAGGACGGUCACCACGGUGUGAUUCAUGACUGGGGUAAAGUCGUAACAAGGUAGCCCUACCGGAAGGUGGGGCUGGAUCACCUCCUUA